CCUACGAGUGGCAGCAGUGAGGAAUAUUGGUCAAUGGGCGGAAGCCUGAACCAGCCAAGUAGCGUGCGGGAUGAAGGCCCUACGGGUCGUAAACCGCUUUUGCACGGGGAUAACACCCUCCACUUGUGGAGGUCUGCAGGUACCGUGCGAAUAAGGGCCGGCUAAUUCCGUGCCAGCAGCCGCGGUAAUACGGAAGGCCCGAGCGUUAUCCGGAUUCAUUGGGCUUAAAGGGAGCGUAGGCGGGCGUUCAAGUCAGCUGUAAAAUCGCGCGGCUCAACCGCGCCCCGCAGUUGAAACUGGACGCCUUGAGUUCACAACAGGCAGGCGGAAUUCGUGGUGUAGCGGUUAAAGGCAUAGAUAUCACGAGGAACCCCGAUUGCGAAGGCAGCCUGCCGGGGUGCGACUGACGCUGAGGCUCGAAGGUGCGGGUAUCAAACAGGAUUAGAUACCCGAGUAGUC
Molecule: ribosomal RNA, 459 nt
Filed under: uncultured bacterium
Lineage: Bacteria
Description: partial 16S ribosomal RNA
Rfam family: Bacterial small subunit ribosomal RNA
Source: RNAcentral